GGUUAAGUGACUAAGCGUACACGGUGGAUGCCUUGGCAGUCAGAGGCGAUGAAGGACGUACUAACUUGCGAUAAGCGUAGAUAAGGCAGUAAGAGCCACUUGAG
This 104-nucleotide ribosomal RNA is filed under the name Vibrio sp. HB161653. RNAcentral's name for it is "partial 23S ribosomal RNA". It matches the Rfam family "Bacterial large subunit ribosomal RNA", at positions 1 to 103 of the family's 2925-position model. Lineage: Bacteria; Pseudomonadati; Pseudomonadota; Gammaproteobacteria; Vibrionales; Vibrionaceae. The record is from RNAcentral.